GCUCAUAACCCUUUGUGAAAUACCUAUAAUCGUUGCUUCCGCGGUGCGGGCCCCCAGCGGCCCCUCCCGGCCCCCCUCCUCGGGGGGCGCCCGCCGGAGGCCAAAACUCCAGUCUUUUAACGAAGUCUCUUCUGAGUGGCACAAGCAAAAUUUAUCAAAACCUUUAACAACGGAUCUCUUGGUUCUGGCAUCGAUGAAGAACGCAGCGAAAUGCGAUAAGUAAUGUGAAUUGCAGAAUUCAGUGAAUCAUCGAAUCUUUGAACGCACAUUGCGCCCGCCAGCAUUCUGGCGGGCAUGCCUGUUCGAGCGUCAUUUCAACCCUCAAGCACUGCUUGGUGUUGGGGCGCCGCGGAGACGCGGGCCCCCAAAUACAGUGGCGGACGCUCCCGGAGCCUCCUUUUGCGUAGUAACCAAAAACCUCGCACUGGGACCCGGGGCGCACCAGCCGUAAAACCCCCAAACUUUCCAAAGGUUGACCUCGGAUCAGGUAGGAAUACCCGCUGAACUUAAGCAUAUCAAUAAGCGGAGGAAAAGAAACCAACAGGGAUUGCCUCAGUAACGGCGAGUGAAGCGGCAACAGCUCAAAUUUGAAAUCUGGCCCCAGGCCCGAGUUGUAAUUUGCAGAGGAUGCUUUGGGCGCGGUGCCUUCCGAGUUCCCUGGAACGGGACGCCAUAGAGGGUGAGAGCCCCGUACGGUCGGACGCCUAGCCUGUGUAAAGCUCCUUCGACGAGUCGAGUAGUUUGGGAAUGCUGCUCAAAAUGGGAGGUAUAUUUCUUCUAAAGCUAAAUACCGGCCAGAGACCGAUAGCGCACAAGUAGAGUGAUCGAAAGAUGAAAAGCACUUUGAAAAGAGGGUUAAACAGCACGUGAAAUUGUUAAAGGGGAAGCGCUUGUGACCAGACUUGCGUCCGGUGAAUCAUCCAGCCUUCUGGCUGGUGCACUUCGCCGGCUCAGGCCAGCAUCAGCUCGCUGUCGGGGACAAAAGCUUCGGGAACGUAGCUCCUCUAGGGGAGUGUUAUAGCCCGUUGCACAAUACCCUUCGGGGGCUGA
Molecule: ribosomal RNA, 1050 nt
Filed under: Sordariomycetes sp.
Lineage: Eukaryota; Fungi; Ascomycota; Sordariomycetes
Description: eukaryotic LSU rRNA
Rfam family: Eukaryotic large subunit ribosomal RNA (bases 474-1050)
Source: RNAcentral